GACGAACGCUGGCGGCGUGCCUAAUACAUGCAAGUAGAACGCACAGUUUAUACCGUAGCUUGCUACACCAUAGACUGUGAGUUGCGAACGGGUGAGUAACGCGUAGGUAACCUGCCUGGUAGCGGGGGAUAACUAUUGGAAACGAUAGCUAAUACCGCAUAAUAUUAAUUAUUGCAUGAUAAUUGAUUGAAAGGUGCAAAUGCAUCACUACCAGAUGGACCUGCGUUGUAUUAGCUAGUAGGUGAGGUAACGGCUCACCUAGGCGACGAUACAUAGCCGACCUGAGAGGGUGAUCGGCCACACUGGGACUGAGACACGGCCCAGACUCCUACGGGAGGCAGCAGUAGGGAAUCUUCGGCAAUGGACGAAAGUCUGACCGAGCAACGCCGCGUGAGUGAAGAAGGUUUUCGGAUCGUAAAGCUCUGUUGUAAGAGAAGAACGGGUGUGAGAGUGGAAAGUUCACACUGUGACGGUAUCUUACCAGAAAGGGACGGCUAACUACGUGCCAGCAGCCGCGGUAAUACGUAGGUCCCGAGCGUUGUCCGGAUUUAUUGGGCGUAAAGCGAGCGCAGGCGGUUAGAUAAGUCUGAAGUUAAAGGCUGUGGCUUAACCAUAGUACGCUUUGGAAACUGUUUAACUUGAGUGCAGAAGGGGAGAGUGGAAUUCCAUGUGUAGCGGUGAAAUGCGUAGAUAUAUGGAGGAACACCGGUGGCGAAAGCGGCUCUCUGGUCUGUAACUGACGCUGAGGCUUGAAAGCGUGGGGAGCGAACAGG
RNAcentral lists this ribosomal RNA (773 nucleotides) under uncultured Streptococcus sp. Its description in RNAcentral is "bacterial SSU rRNA". It matches the Rfam family "Bacterial small subunit ribosomal RNA", at positions 28 to 776 of the family's 1533-position model. The record is from RNAcentral. Lineage: Bacteria; Bacillati; Bacillota; Bacilli; Lactobacillales; Streptococcaceae.